GAAAAUCAUCCUCCACCACCCAUUAACAUGUCAGUUGAGCUCGAGCUUCUAUUAUCUUUUCUCCUUCUCAUUGUCUCGUUCUUCUUCAUCUUUUUCUUUAUCACUGGAAGCUCCAAAUCUGAAAAAUCUAUAUCUACUCACCUCCCAAAAUCUUACCCAUUGAUCGGUUCUUCUUUCGCUUUAAAGGCAAACUUCGACCGACGAAUUCAAUGGACGUCGGAUAUUCUCCAAAGCAUUCCUUCUGCAACAUUUGUCCUCCACCGUCCUAUGGGUCACCGCCAGAUCUUCACCGGGAACCCAACCAACGUGCAACACAUACUCAAGACUAACUUUCACCACUACCAGAAAGGCUCAUUUACUCGACACACUCUCUUCGAUUUCCUUGGCAAUGGCAUCUUCAAUGCCGAUGGUGACACCUGGAAAUUUCAAAGGCAAGUUGCCAGCCACGAAUUCAGCAACAGGUCUCUGCGUAAAUUUGUUGAGACUGUGGUCAAUACGGAACUCUCUCAACGCUUAAUUCCAAUCCUCUCCAUUGCGGCUGCCAACAAAACAGUGCUCGAUUUGCAAGAUAUUCUUCAGAGAUUUGCUUUUGACAACAUAUGCAAAAUCGCUUUUGGGUAUGAUCCCGCAUAUUUGUUGCCAUCUCUUCCACCCGCACAGUUCGCAGAAGCUUUCGAAGAGAGUACCAGGAUAAUCAGUGCCAGACUCAAUCGCCCAUUCCCUAUAAUAUGGAAAAUCAAAAAGCUUUUCCGUGUUGGAUCUGAAAAACGUCUCCAAAAAUCCAUGUCUCAGGUACGCGAUUUUGCCAUGAACAUCGUCAAAGAGAAGAAGGAAGAACUCAAACAGAACUCAUCCCUCGAAUCAGUUGAUCUCUUGUCGCGAUUCUUAAGUUCUGGCAUUUCCGACGAGACCUUCGUCACUGAUGUUGUCAUCAGCUUCAUAUUAGCCGGUCGUGACACCACAUCUGCGGCUUUAACGUGGUUUUUCUGGUUAAUCUCGAAAAACCAACAUGUAGAAACUGAAAUUCUUAAAGAAAUACAGGAGAAAUCGAACGUAGCCAUUUUCGAAGAAGUGAAGGACAUGGUAUACACCCACGCUUCCUUGUGCGAGACUAUGAGGUUGUACCCUCCAGUUCCUGUGGACACCAAAAUAGCAGUUAGCGAUGACGUUUUGCCUGACGGGACGUGGGUGAAGAAGGGUACUAGAGUCACAUAUCAUCCAUACGCGAUGGGGAGGCUAGAGACCCUAUGGGGUCUGGAUUGGGCUGAUUUCAAGCCAGAGAGGUGGCUACAAGAGGGAGAUGGAGUGAAGAACAAAUGGAGUUUCGUUGGGAGAGAUCCCUACACCUACCCGGUGUUUCAAGCUGGGCCAAGGGUUUGUUUGGGGAAAGAAAUGGCCUUCUUGCAAAUGAAGAGGGUGGUUUCUGAAGUUCUGAGCAGGUAUAAGGUAGUGCCAGCAGCGGAGCAUGGUGAGGAGCCAGUGUUUAUUUCUCAUGUCACCAGUAAGAUGAAGGGUGGCUUUCCGGUGAGGUUCGAGGAAAGAAGUAAAUGAUUAAUCUUGAAUGAAUGAUGAAAAAUUGUUGGUUUAGUAUAAUUAGCUGCUUCUAUUACAGAAGAAAAAUUCAUGUCCAUAGUGUUUUUCUAAUUGCGGAGUACUGCAAGUUUGUAAGAAGCAACAUCAAUAUAUUUACUUGUAUAUAAUUAUGUAAUAAAUUAAAAGAAGAAAAUUUUUCAUAAAAAAUUAAUU
RNAcentral lists this unclassified non-coding RNA (1746 nucleotides) under Hevea brasiliensis (rubber tree). The record is from RNAcentral. Lineage: Eukaryota; Viridiplantae; Streptophyta; Magnoliopsida; Malpighiales; Euphorbiaceae.